This 354-nucleotide unclassified non-coding RNA is filed under the name soil metagenome. Its description in RNAcentral is "partial contains 5.8S ribosomal RNA, internal transcribed spacer 2, and large subunit ribosomal RNA". The stretch from base 1 to 120 matches the Rfam family "5.8S ribosomal RNA", at positions 35 to 154 of the family's 154-position model. The record is from RNAcentral.
GAUGAAGAACGUAGCGAAAUGCGAUAAUUAAUGUGAAUUGCAGAAUUCCGUGAAUCAUCGAAUCUUUGAACGCACAUUGCGCCCCCUGGCAUUCCGGGGGGCAUGCCUGUCCGAGCGUCAUUUCUGCCCUCCAGCCCGGCUGGGUGUUGGGCGCUGUCCCCCCGGGGACACGCCCCAAAGGCAGUGGCGGCGCCGCGUCGGGUCCUCGAGCGUAUGGGGCUUUGUCACCCGCUCGGGACGGACUCGUCGGCGCUGGUCUUCCUCCAGGCGACCCUUCGGGGCUCGUCUUCCUUCGGUUGACCUCGGAUCAGGUAGGGUUACCCGCUGAACUUAAGCAUAUCAAUAAGCGGAGGA